AACGAACGCUGGCGGCAUGCCUAACACAUGCAAGUCGAACGAGACCUUCGGGUCUAGUGGCGCACGGGUUCGUAACGCGUGGGAACCUGCCCUUAGGUUCGGAAUAACUCCCCGAAAGGGGUGCUAAUACCGGAUAAUGUCUUCGGACCAAAGAUUUAUCGCCUUUGGAUGGGCCCGCGUUGGAUUAGCUAGUUGGUAGGGUAAAAGCCUACCAAGGCGACGAUCCAUAGCUGGUCUGAGAGGAUGAUCAGCCACACUGGGACUGAGACACGGCCCAGACUCCUACGGGAGGCAGCAGUGGGGAAUAUUGGACAAUGGGCGAAAGCCUGAUCCAGCAAGGCCGCGUGAGUGAUGAAGGCCUUAGGGUUGUAAAGCUCUUUUACCCGGGAUGAUAAUGACAGUACCGGGAGAAUAAGCUCCGGCUAACUCCGUG
RNAcentral lists this ribosomal RNA (433 nucleotides) under uncultured bacterium. RNAcentral's name for it is "partial 16S ribosomal RNA". It matches the Rfam family "Bacterial small subunit ribosomal RNA", at positions 29 to 507 of the family's 1533-position model. The record is from RNAcentral.